GGCUCAGUGGUCUAGGGGUAUGAUUCGCGCUUCGGGUGCGCGAGGUCCCGGGUUCAAUUCCCGGCUGAGCCC
This 72-nucleotide transfer RNA is filed under the name Lepeophtheirus salmonis (salmon louse). Its description in RNAcentral is "transfer RNA proline (anticodon CGG)". It matches the Rfam family "tRNA". From Rfam's summary of the family: Transfer RNA (tRNA) molecules are approximately 80 nucleotides in length. Their secondary structure includes four short double-helical elements and three loops (D, anti-codon, and T loops). Further hydrogen bonds mediate the characteristic L-shaped molecular structure. tRNAs have two regions of fundamental functional importance: the anti-codon, which is responsible for specific mRNA codon recognition, and the 3' end, to which the tRNAs corresponding amino acid is attached (by aminoacyl-tRNA synthetases). tRNAs cope with the degeneracy of the genetic code in two manners: having more than one tRNA (with a specific anti-codon) for a particular amino acid; and 'wobble' base-pairing, i.e. permitting non-standard base-pairing at the 3rd anti-codon position. The record is from Rfam by way of RNAcentral. Lineage: Eukaryota; Metazoa; Arthropoda; Copepoda; Siphonostomatoida; Caligidae.